UACAGAGGUCUCAAGCGUUGUUCGGAAUUACUGGGCGUAAAGGGUGCGCAGGCCGCGCGGGCAGUCAAAUGUGUAAUCCAGGGGCUCAACCCCUGAACUGCGCUUGAUACUUCCGCGCUCGAGCUUUGGAGAGGAGUCUGGAAUUCUCGGUGUAGCAGUGAAAUGCGUGGAUAUCGAGGAGAACACUUAGGGCGUAGGCAAGACUCUGGACAAAUGCUGACGCUCAUGCACGAAGGCUAGGGUAGCGAACGGG
Molecule: ribosomal RNA, 253 nt
Filed under: uncultured bacterium
Lineage: Bacteria
Description: partial 16S ribosomal RNA
Rfam family: Bacterial small subunit ribosomal RNA
Source: RNAcentral